GAUGAACGCUAGCUACAGGCUUAACACAUGCAAGUCGAGGGGCAUCAGGAAGAAAGCUUGCUUUCUUUGCUGGCGACCGGCGCACGGGUGAGUAACACGUAUCCAACCUGCCCUUUACUCGGGGAUAGCCUUUCGAAAGAAAGAUUAAUACCCGAUAGCAUAAUGAUUCCGCAUGGUUUCAUUAUUAAAGGAUUCCGGUAAAGGAUGGGGAUGCGUUCCAUUAGGUUGUUGGUGAGGUAACGGCCCACCAAGCCUUCGAUGGAUAGGGGUUCUGAGAGGAAGGUCCCCCACAUUGGAACUGAGACACGGUCCAAACUCCUACGGGAGGCAGCAGUGAGGAAUAUUGGUCAAUGGGCGCUAGCCUGAACCAGCCAAGUAGCGUGAAGGAUGAAGGCUCUAUGGGUCGUAAACUUCUUUUAUAUGGGAAUAAAGUUUUCCACGUGUGGAAUUUUGUAUGUACCAUAUGAAUAAGGAUCGGCUAAACUCCGUG
Molecule: ribosomal RNA, 490 nt
Filed under: uncultured bacterium
Lineage: Bacteria
Description: bacterial SSU rRNA
Rfam family: Bacterial small subunit ribosomal RNA
Source: RNAcentral